UAUCGUCAUGCAAAACGUAAGUAUAAAAAAGAAAAGAACGAGAGAAGAUUCAUGUGUCGCAUGUCGCGCUUUAGUGUUCGAACGCGAUGGCACGUUUCGACGCAUUAGAAGAAUAGACUUUCUUACGUUAUAAGACGUUUGUUAUUAUUUUCGAAACGAUGUUUCGAUACAGCAGAUCGUCGCGUUCAAGCGCUAAACACUACGUCAUGGACAGAUACGACACGAAUCUAUGAUUUAAUAGAAAAUAAAAAUAGGAAAAAAAGAAAAUUAGCUGUACAACAAUCGCGAAACAACAAACCGACCCAUCGAGUGUCGUGUCGUCGAGAUAAAGGCGCGGCUAAAAUUUAUAAAUUAUUAAGGAUUUCAAUAAAACGUCGCCACAUAGUUAUCGCAAAUGCAAAUUGAACCGGAUUGGUCGGUUCAUCAGCGCGUGUGUAUAUAUAUAUAUAUAUAUAUAUAUAUAUAUAUAUAUAUAUAUAUUUUCACAUAUAUAUACAUAUAUAUAUUCACGCACCAAACAUUUUCACUCAGCGGCGUUUCACGAUGACAGAAAAUCCGUCUCUACCAUUUGUGUGAUAUCCGAAAAAGGCAUCUAAAACCUACAUCUAGCCCUUAACGUUAUAAAAGAUGCUACGGAUGUUCGUUUCUUAGGCAGACCACGACGUGAAAGUCACGGGAGGAGAGUGCUUGUCCCUGUGUGACAUAAACACGAAUCUUGCUUGGCGAAACGAAAGGACCAAAUCGAAAUAACAAAUUUAGUAGAAUUUAAGUAACACAGAUUACAACUUGAGAAGCUGAUACGACGAGAAGCGGACGAGAAUUAUCGAAGUGUGUUAUACAAAUUGUGACGUGUACUAAUUUUUAAUGCGCACACACACGCAUGUACAUACAUACAUACACAGAGAAUUUACGAUCAAACGGUUCCAAAGAGCAGAAAGGAUUCAGCAGGAGUUAACGCUCGGUUAACACGAUGCCUCCUCCUUAGUGUAUGGUGUCUUGCGAGUGAAAAAUGCAUACCAGGAAGUACAUGAAAACGACGUUACAGCUCACAGAACAAAGUACGAGCAUCACACGAAUAAUUCCAUCAAGUACAACUCUCUCGUUUCCCACAAGCAAUACACAUACGUAAUUAAUGCACAGUGUGUCAAUGGAUAAUAUGGAUUAAGGCGACUCUAUGAUUAGCAUGGUCACGAAGCGGAGAAGAACUGCUGAAGACGCUGCACUGUUCUGCGAUCCAGCGCGCACAGAUCGAAGUCGAACGUCUUCUUCGUGAUCUCAUAUUGACCAGUCUCGGCGAUCACCUGCACAACCCUCUGCAGCUCCUG
Odontomachus brunneus is the source of this 1325-nucleotide long non-coding RNA. RefSeq lists it as uncharacterized. Lineage: Eukaryota; Metazoa; Arthropoda; Insecta; Hymenoptera; Formicidae. The transcript has 3 exons. The record is from RefSeq and is a predicted model, not a curated record.